This 441-nucleotide ribosomal RNA is filed under the name uncultured bacterium. Its description in RNAcentral is "partial 16S ribosomal RNA". It matches the Rfam family "Bacterial small subunit ribosomal RNA", at positions 338 to 795 of the family's 1533-position model. The record is from RNAcentral.
CCUACGGGAGGCAGCAGUGGGGAAUAUUGGGCAAUGGAGGAAACUCUGACCCAGCAACGCCGCGUGAAGGAUGAAGGUUUUCGGAUUGUAAACUUCUGUCGCGAGGGACGAAGAAUGACGGAACCUCGUAAGAAAGCCCCGGCUAACUACGUGCCAGCAGCCGCGGUAAUACGUAGGGGGCGAGCGUUGGCCGGAAUGACUGGGCGUAAAGGGAGUGUAGGCGGCAAUAUAAGUUAGAGGUGAAAGCCCGGGGCUCAACCGCGGAACUGCAUCUAAAACUAGAUAGCUGGAGUGCAGGAGAGGUGAGUGGAAUUCCUGGUGUAGCGGUGGAAUGCGUAGAUAUUAGGAAGAACACCGGAGGCGAAGGCGACUUACUGGACUGUAACUGACGCUGAGGCUCGAAAGCGUGGGGAGCGAACAGGAUUAGAUACCCCUGUAGUC